UGCCAGCCGCCGCGGUAAUACGGAGGGUGCAAGCGUUAAUCGGAAUCACUGGGCGUAAAGCGCGCGUAGGCGGCUAUAUUAGUCAGAUGUGAAAGCCCCGGGCCUAACCUGGGAACGGCAUUUGAAACUGUAUAGCUAGAGUUUGGUAGAGGGAAGUGGAAUUCCGAGUGUAGCGGUGAAAUGCGUAGAGAUUCGGGGGAACAUCAGUGGCGAAGGCGACUUCCUGGCCCAAAACUGACGCUGAGGUGCGAAAGCGUGGGUAGCAAACAGGAUUAGAUA
Molecule: ribosomal RNA, 279 nt
Filed under: uncultured bacterium
Lineage: Bacteria
Description: partial 16S ribosomal RNA
Rfam family: Bacterial small subunit ribosomal RNA
Source: RNAcentral